UUCGGAAUAGCUCAGUUGGUUAGAGCGUGUGGCUGUUAACCACAAGGUCGGAGGUUCAAGCCCAACUUCUAGCG
RNAcentral lists this transfer RNA (74 nucleotides) under Salix viminalis (osier). The stretch from base 5 to 69 matches the Rfam family "tRNA", at positions 5 to 66 of the family's 71-position model. From Rfam's summary of the family: Transfer RNA (tRNA) molecules are approximately 80 nucleotides in length. Their secondary structure includes four short double-helical elements and three loops (D, anti-codon, and T loops). Lineage: Eukaryota; Viridiplantae; Streptophyta; Magnoliopsida; Malpighiales; Salicaceae. The record is from RNAcentral.